This 327-nucleotide ribosomal RNA is filed under the name uncultured Neocallimastigales. Its description in RNAcentral is "partial large subunit ribosomal RNA". The record is from RNAcentral. Lineage: Eukaryota; Fungi; Neocallimastigomycota; Neocallimastigomycetes; Neocallimastigales.
GUUGUUUUUCCGAAAAUCAAUUACGAAUGGCGGGAUUCUAAGUUUCAUGACCUUAAAAGCUUGUUUCUUUCUUUUCCUGUCUUUCUUAAUGCACUUUUCGGUUAACAAGUCAACAUCAAUUUCUUUUGUUGUAAAAGGUUAAGAGGAAGGUGGCUUUACUUUCGGGUAAAGUGUUUAUAGCCUUUUAACUCUGCAAUCGGAGAGAUUGAGGUCUGCAGCGUAGAUCCUUCGGGGCUAGAUACGUUUGUGCUAAGUUAUAGCUUUUCAUAGACAACUUGUUGACUAUGUUUAGUCUUGUAGCUUACUCGCAGAUGCUAUUUUACCUAC